CUUGAACCCUAUAAGAGGUCCAGCCUGCCCAGUGAAACAAUUCAACGGCCGCGGUAUCCUAACCGUGCGAAGGUAGCGUAAUCACUUGUCCUCUAAAUUAGGACUAGUAUGAACGGCAUCACGAGGGUUAUACUGUCUCCUUUUUCCAAUUAGUGAAUUUAAUUUUCCCGUGAAGAAGCGGGAAUAAGUCUAUAAGACGAGAAGACCCUAUGGAGCUUUAAACAAUCUAGCAUUUGCCUAUAUUCUUCAUGUUUCAGAACUCUCUAGACCUCCUACAUAAUGACUAGAAGUUUUAGGUUGGGGUGACCGCGGAGUAAAACCCAUCCUCCAUAAUGAAAGAAUUUUAAUUCUUAACCAAGAAAUACCUAUCUAAGUAUUAACACACUGACAUUUAUUGACCCAAUACAAUUGAUCAACGAAC
This 421-nucleotide ribosomal RNA is filed under the name Amazophrynella aff. manaos ABGD cluster 4. Its description in RNAcentral is "partial large subunit ribosomal RNA". It matches the Rfam family "Bacterial large subunit ribosomal RNA", at positions 1835 to 2457 of the family's 2925-position model. The record is from RNAcentral. Lineage: Eukaryota; Metazoa; Chordata; Amphibia; Anura; Bufonidae.